AAAAUCCGCCAAACGGAAGCCUGAGACACGAUGACGAGUGAAAAAUAGUAACGAAGUCCUUGAUCCUCCGCUGCCAAGAAAAGCUGCUAAGGAAUAUAGAGGUGCCCGUACCGCAAACCGACACAGGUAGACAGGUAGAGAAUACUAAGGCGCGCGAGAUAACUCUUGUUAAGGAACUCUGCAAAAUGAACCCGUAACUUCGGGAGAAGGGUUGCUGACCAUGGUGAGUAUGAGCAAUACAGAGCUGAGGUCAGUCGCAGUGAAAAGGUCCAGGCGACUGUUUAGCAAAAACACAGGUCAUUGCAAAAUCGCAAGAUGAAGUAUAAUGGCUGACGCCUGCCCGGUGCUGGAAGGUUAAGGGGAAGAGUGCAAGCUUUGAACCGAAGCCCCAGUAAACGGCGGCCGUAACAAUAACGGUCCUAAGGUAGCGAAAUUCCUUGUCGGGUAAGUUCCGACCCGCACGAAAGGCGAAACGAUCUGGACGCUGUCUCAACAUGGGACUCGGUGAAAUUGAAAUUCCGGUAAAGAUGCCGGAUACCUGCGAUAGGACAGAAAGACCCCAUGGAGCUUUACUGUAGCCUGAUAUUGGGUUUCGGAUAUUCAUGUACAGGAUAGGUGGGAGACUGAGAAUCGAGGACGCCAGUUUUCGAGGAGUCAAUGGUGGAUACCACCCUUAAAUGUUUGGAAUUCUAACAAGGAGUCUUGAAGCAGAUUAUUGGACAGUGUCAGGUGGGCAGUUUGACUGGGGCGGUCGCCUCCCAAAAGGUAACGGAGGCGCUCAAAGGUUCCCUCAGAACGGAUGGAAAUCGUUCGCAGAGUGCAAAGGCAGAAGGGAGCUUGACUGCGAGAGCAACAACUCGAGCAGAUAGGAACUAGGACUUAGUGAUCCGGCGGUCGCGAGUGGAAGUGCCGUCGCUCAACGGAUAAAAGCUACCCUGGGGAUAACAGGCUUAUCUCCCCCAAGAGUUCACAUCGACGGGGAGGUUUGGCACCUUGAUGUCGGCUCAUCGCAUCCUGGGGCUGAAGUAGGUCCCAAGGGUUGGGCUGUUCGCCCAUUAAAGCGGUACGCGAGCUGGGUUCAGAACGUCGUGAGACAGUUCGGUCCCUAUCCAUCGCGGGCGUAGGAAAUUUGAAGGGAGCUGACCCUAGUACGAGAGGACCGGGUUGGACAGACCGCUGGUGAACCAGUUGUCCUGCCAAGGGCAUAGCUGGGUAGCUAAGUCUGGAAAAGAUAAACGCUGAAAGCAUCUAAGCGUGAAGCGAACCUUAAGAUGAGAUUUCCAAGUAGCAAUACGAGAGACACCAGAGAGAAUAACUGGUAGAUAGGUCAGGAGUGUAAGUGUGGUGACACAUUGAGCGGACUGAUACUAAUAAGUCGAGCACUUAGUC
RNAcentral lists this ribosomal RNA (1389 nucleotides) under metagenome. Its description in RNAcentral is "bacterial LSU rRNA". It matches the Rfam family "Bacterial large subunit ribosomal RNA", at positions 1537 to 2925 of the family's 2925-position model. The record is from RNAcentral.